RNAcentral lists this small RNA (16 nucleotides) under Arabidopsis thaliana (thale cress). RNAcentral's name for it is "ATSL286870". Lineage: Eukaryota; Viridiplantae; Streptophyta; Magnoliopsida; Brassicales; Brassicaceae. The record is from RNAcentral.
AAAAAAAAUUAUCAAA